AUUAGGAAUCUUUAUCUUCAUUGAUUUAUAUACCAUUAUGGAUGAGAACUUUCUUGGUAGCACUUAAUGCAAAAAAUAUAUCCUUCAUUUUCUAUCAGUAAUGCAUUGUUUACUUUCUGCAGCACCCUCUACAUAACAUAUAGUAUAACUUAUAUCGUAACUUCUACCACAAUCAUUUUCCCAUAUAAAUUUUGGUACAAUAUACUUACUGUACUGUAUGGAAAAAGGGUUUACUGCAAUUUCUCUAAUGUCUCAUUUGGCCUCAUUGCAGUAUAGCAUAAGAAUGACUGAAAUAGGCAGAUUUAAGUUAAAGCAUCUAUUUUAUAAAAAACCAAGUGGCUAAGAAUAAAAUUUAAAGGAAUGAAUUUGAGCAAGAAGACUUUUGCAAGAGUAUGCAUUUCAUCCCCUUCUCUCCUAACUCUUCUACUGUAUUCCAUUCCUCUCCUUCUACCAUCUUUCUGUUGGUUAAACCUCUGAGUAGAGCCUUGUUCUUAUUAUACAGUACGAUCAUACAGUGAUAU
Molecule: long non-coding RNA, 521 nt
Filed under: Androctonus crassicauda
Lineage: Eukaryota; Metazoa; Arthropoda; Arachnida; Scorpiones; Buthidae
Source: RNAcentral